AAUAAAUUGGACCGUCGGUCUACCGAGCAAUAUCACCCGCUCGGUGGAAGAUCUUCCCUUUGUCGU
RNAcentral lists this microRNA precursor (66 nucleotides) under Bombyx mori (domestic silkworm). Its description in RNAcentral is "mir-2774 microRNA precursor family". It matches the Rfam family "mir-2774 microRNA precursor family". Lineage: Eukaryota; Metazoa; Arthropoda; Insecta; Lepidoptera; Bombycidae. The record is from Rfam by way of RNAcentral.